This 396-nucleotide ribosomal RNA is filed under the name uncultured bacterium. RNAcentral describes it as "bacterial SSU rRNA". It matches the Rfam family "Bacterial small subunit ribosomal RNA", at positions 28 to 428 of the family's 1533-position model. The record is from RNAcentral.
GACGAACGCUGGCGGCGUGCUUAACACAUGCAAGUCGAGCGGAAAGGCUCCUUCGGGGGUACUCGAGCGGCGAACGGGUGAGUAACACGUGAGUAAUCUGCCCUUGGCUUUGGGAUAACUACCGGAAACGGUGGCUAAUACCGGAUACGACCACUCCUUGCAUGAGGUGGUGGUGGAAAGUUUUUUCGGCCAGGGAUGUGCUCGCGGCCUAUCAGCUUGUUGGUGGGGUAAUGGCCUACCAAGGCUUCGACGGGUAGCCGGCCUGAGAGGGUGACCGGCCACACUGGGACUGAGACACGGGCCCAGACUCCUACGGGAGGCAGCAGUGGGGAAUAUUGGACAAUGGGCGAAGCCUGAUCCAGCAACGCCGCGUGAGGGAUGACGGCCUCGGUGUAA